AUGUUCCUCUUGAGAUCCAUGCCCCCAACAGCUUCUAUUAAUUUUCUCAAUCCAAGAAGAAGAAGAAGCAUAUUUCAAAGUUCAGAGAGGAAGGCUUAUCUAACAGACUGGCCAGUGAUGGAAUGGAUGCUUCACAGAUAUUUCAAGCAGGCUACAAGAAUCCUCCCAGUUGAGUCCUACUACAAAUCCAUCAUUGAUCCUGGAUCCAGGCUACAGCUGGCAAAGGAGAGGAAAUACAGAGUUCAAAAUAAGGUGAGGAGGCUCACAGCCAAAAAAUCCCAUCUGCAGCGACUACUUAUGGCCUACCCUGGCCCAUAUGGAAGUUCACUGCUUUUACCAUUUAGAGUUCCCAGGAGAGCUUGUCUGGAAGGAGAAAUAAAUCCCCAUCCCCACUAA
This 396-nucleotide long non-coding RNA is filed under the name Canis lupus familiaris (dog). RNAcentral's name for it is "lncRNA (ENSCAFG00040016570.1)". The record is from RNAcentral. Lineage: Eukaryota; Metazoa; Chordata; Mammalia; Carnivora; Canidae.